This 465-nucleotide ribosomal RNA is filed under the name uncultured bacterium. RNAcentral's name for it is "bacterial SSU rRNA". It matches the Rfam family "Bacterial small subunit ribosomal RNA", at positions 29 to 501 of the family's 1533-position model. The record is from RNAcentral.
AUUGAACGCUGGCGGCAGGCCUAACACAUGCAAGUCGAACGGCAGCACAGAAGAGCUUGCUCUUUGGGUGGCGAGUGGCGGACGGGUGAGUAACACGUAGGAAUCUACCCAGUAGUGGGGGAUAACCUGGGGAAACCCAGGCUAAUACCGCAUACGCCCUGAGGGGGAAAGCGGGGGAUCUUCGGACCUCGCGCUAUUGGAUGAGCCUGCGUCGGAUUAGCUAGUUGGUGGGGUAAGGGCCCACCAAGGCGACGAUCCGUAGCUGGUCUGAGAGGAUGACCAGUCACACCGGAACUGAGACACGGUCCGGACUCCUACGGGAGGCAGCAGUGGGGAAUAUUGGACAAUGGGCGCAAGCCUGAUCCAGCCAUGCCGCGUGGGUGAAGAAGGCCUCGGUUGUAAGCCUUACGUGGGAGGAAGGCGAGUUCAUGACUAACUAACCUAACGUAGGUAGUAGUAGUUAGU